UGAGCCAUAGUGAAAUGGUAUCACGUUCAGUUUACUGAUCACUCAGUCUACUGAGAAGUGCUGGUUCGAAUCCAGUUGGCUCAA
RNAcentral lists this transfer RNA (84 nucleotides) under Hofstenia miamia. RNAcentral describes it as "tRNA-Val for anticodon UAC". It matches the Rfam family "tRNA". Rfam says of the family: Transfer RNA (tRNA) molecules are approximately 80 nucleotides in length. Their secondary structure includes four short double-helical elements and three loops (D, anti-codon, and T loops). Lineage: Eukaryota; Metazoa; Xenacoelomorpha; Acoela; Hofsteniidae. The record is from RNAcentral.